RNAcentral lists this ribosomal RNA (550 nucleotides) under Pseudomonas aeruginosa. RNAcentral's name for it is "bacterial SSU rRNA". It matches the Rfam family "Bacterial small subunit ribosomal RNA", at positions 86 to 632 of the family's 1533-position model. The record is from RNAcentral. Lineage: Bacteria; Pseudomonadati; Pseudomonadota; Gammaproteobacteria; Pseudomonadales; Pseudomonadaceae.
CUGGAUUCAGCGGCGGACGGGUGAGUAAUGCCUAGGAAUCUGCCUGGUAGUGGGGGAUAACGUCCGGAAACGGGCGCUAAUACCGCAUACGUCCUGAGGGAGAAAGUGGGGGAUCUUCGGACCUCACGCUAUCAGAUGAGCCUAGGUCGGAUUAGCUAGUUGGUGGGGUAAAGGCCUACCAAGGCGACGAUCCGUAACUGGUCUGAGAGGAUGAUCAGUCACACUGGAACUGAGACACGGUCCAGACUCCUACGGGAGGCAGCAGUGGGGAAUAUUGGACAAUGGGCGAAAGCCUGAUCCAGCCAUGCCGCGUGUGUGAAGAAGGUCUUCGGAUUGUAAAGCACUUUAAGUUGGGAGGAAGGGCAGUAAGUUAAUACCUUGCUGUUUUGACGUUACCAACAGAAUAAGCACCGGCUAACUUCGUGCCAGCAGCCGCGGUAAUACGAAGGGUGCAAGCGUUAAUCGGAAUUACUGGGCGUAAAGCGCGCGUAGGUGGUUCAGCAAGUUGGAUGUGAAAUCCCCGGGCUCAACCUGGGAACUGCAUCCAAAA